Molecule: ribosomal RNA, 580 nt
Filed under: Lactiplantibacillus plantarum
Lineage: Bacteria; Bacillati; Bacillota; Bacilli; Lactobacillales; Lactobacillaceae
Description: bacterial SSU rRNA
Rfam family: Bacterial small subunit ribosomal RNA
Source: RNAcentral
UUGGACCGCAUGGUCCGAGUUUGAAAGAUGGCUUCGGCUAUCACUUUUGGAUGGUCCCGCGGCGUAUUAGCUAGAUGGUGGGGUAACGGCUCACCAUGGCAAUGAUACGUAGCCGACCUGAGAGGGUAAUCGGCCACAUUGGGACUGAGACACGGCCCAAACUCCUACGGGAGGCAGCAGUAGGGAAUCUUCCACAAUGGACGAAAGUCUGAUGGAGCAACGCCGCGUGAGUGAAGAAGGGUUUCGGCUCGUAAAACUCUGUUGUUAAAGAAGAACAUAUCUGAGAGUAACUGUUCAGGUAUUGACGGUAUUUAACCAGAAAGCCACGGCUAACUACGUGCCAGCAGCCGCGGUAAUACGUAGGUGGCAAGCGUUGUCCGGAUUUAUUGGGCGUAAAGCGAGCGCAGGCGGUUUUUUAAGUCUGAUGUGAAAGCCUUCGGCUCAACCGAAGAAGUGCAUCGGAAACUGGGAAACUUGAGUGCAGAAGAGGACAGUGGAACUCCAUGUGUAGCGGUGAAAUGCGUAGAUAUAUGGAAGAACACCAGUGGCGAACGCGGCUGUCUGGUCUGUAACUGACGCU